This 568-nucleotide ribosomal RNA is filed under the name uncultured bacterium. Its description in RNAcentral is "bacterial SSU rRNA". It matches the Rfam family "Bacterial small subunit ribosomal RNA", at positions 574 to 1155 of the family's 1533-position model. The record is from RNAcentral.
GGUGGUUUAUCGCAUCGUGCUUGAAAGCCCGAGGCUCAACCUCGGCGUUGGGCACGAGAUGGAUAGACUAGAGGGAGACAGAGGUAAGGGGAACUCAUAGUGGAGCAGUGAAAUGCGUUGAUAUUAUGAGGAACACCAAAGGCGAAGGCACCUUACUGGGUCUCAUCUGACACUCAGACACGAAAGCUAGGGGAGCGAAGCAGAUUAGAGACCUGCGUAGUCCUAGCCCUAAACGCAUGUCUGCUAGUUACCCCGCGUAAGCGGGGCGACGUAAGCUAACGCGUUAAGCAGACCGCCUGGGGAGUACGAUCGCAAGAUUAAAACUCAAAGGAAUUGACGGGGACCCGCACAACCGGUGGAGCGUGUAGUUCAAUUCGAGACAAAGCGAAGGACCUCACCAGGUCUUGACAUUCCGGCGUUCUAUUUCCUAGAAACAGGAGAAGGUCCGCAAGGAGGCCGGAACAGCAGCUGCAUGGCUGUCGUCAGCUCGUGCCGUGAGGUGUUCCCUUAAGUGGGAAAACGAGCGCAACCCGUGUCCAAUGUUAUAUGUUUCAUUGGAGACCGCCCA